CCUACGGGAGGCAGCAGUGGGGAAUUUUGGACAAUGGGCGAAAGCCUGAUCCAGCAAUGCCGCGUGAGUGAAGAAGGCCUUCGGGUUGUAAAGCUCUUUUGUCAGGGAAGAAACGGUGAGGGCUAAUAUCUCUUGCUAAUGACGGUACCUGAAGAAUAAGCACCGGCUAACUACGUGCCAGCAGCCGCGGUAAUACGUAGGGUGCAAGCGUUAAUCGGAAUUACUGGGCGUAAAGCGUGCGCAGGCGGUUUUGUAAGUCUGUCGUGAAAUCCCCGGGCUCAACCUGGGAAUUGCGAUGGAGACUGCAAGGCUAGAAUCUGGCAGAGGGGGGUAGAAUUCCACGUGUAGCAGUGAAAUGCGUAGAGAUGUGGAGGAACACCGAUGGCGAAGGCAGCCCCCUGGGUCAAGAUUGACGCUCAUGCACGAAAGCGUGGGGAGCAAACAGGAUUAGAUACCCUGGUAGUCCACGCCCUAAACGAUGUCUACUAGUUGUCGGGUUUUAAUUAACUUGGUAACGCAGCUACGCGNGAGUAGACCGCCGNGGGAGGUACGGUCGGUCGAGAAGUUAAACUUAACGUAAAGAAAGUUAGUACGGCGNGAGACGNGCGACGGACGACGACGAGGGAGGAGG
RNAcentral lists this ribosomal RNA (631 nucleotides) under uncultured bacterium. RNAcentral's name for it is "bacterial SSU rRNA". The stretch from base 1 to 540 matches the Rfam family "Bacterial small subunit ribosomal RNA", at positions 338 to 873 of the family's 1533-position model. The record is from RNAcentral.